GGGAGGAUACCAAAGUGGUCUAAUGGGCCGGCCUCAAGCUCCGGUGCUUCGGCGCGUGGGUUCGAAUCCCACUUCUCUCA
RNAcentral lists this transfer RNA (80 nucleotides) under Kwoniella heveanensis CBS 569. RNAcentral describes it as "tRNA-Leu (CAA) (tRNA-Leu-CAA-1-1)". It matches the Rfam family "tRNA". Rfam says of the family: Transfer RNA (tRNA) molecules are approximately 80 nucleotides in length. Their secondary structure includes four short double-helical elements and three loops (D, anti-codon, and T loops). Lineage: Eukaryota; Fungi; Basidiomycota; Tremellomycetes; Tremellales; Cryptococcaceae. The record is from RNAcentral. RNAcentral also lists the same sequence under 1 other name.